CCUACGGGUGGCAGCAGUCGAGAAUCUUUCACAAUGGGGGAAACCCUGAUGGUGCGACGCCGCGUGGGGGAAUGAAGGUCUUCGGAUUGUAAACCCUUGUCAUGUGGGAGCAAAUUAAAAAGAUAGUACCACAACAGGAAGAGACGGCUAACUCUGUGCCAGCAGCCGCGGUAAUACAGAGGUCUCAAGCGUUGAUCGGAAUCACUGGGCGUAAAGGGUGCGGUGGCGGGUUCGUAAGUCGUGUGUGAAAGGCGCGGGCUCAACCCGCGGACGGCACAUGAUACUGCGAGACUAGAGUAAAGGAGAGGGAAGCGGAAUUCUAGGUGUAGCAGUGAAAUGCGUAGAUA
RNAcentral lists this ribosomal RNA (347 nucleotides) under uncultured bacterium. Its description in RNAcentral is "partial 16S ribosomal RNA". It matches the Rfam family "Bacterial small subunit ribosomal RNA", at positions 338 to 696 of the family's 1533-position model. The record is from RNAcentral.